RNAcentral lists this ribosomal RNA (438 nucleotides) under uncultured bacterium. RNAcentral's name for it is "bacterial SSU rRNA". It matches the Rfam family "Bacterial small subunit ribosomal RNA", at positions 954 to 1392 of the family's 1533-position model. The record is from RNAcentral.
GCAAAACGCGAAGAACCUUACCCACCUUUGACAUGUACGGAAUCCUUUAGAGAUAGAGGAGUGCUCGAAAGAGAGCCGUAACGCAGGUGCUGCAUGGCUGUCGUCAGCUCGUGUCGUGAGAUGUUGGGUUAAGUCCCGCAACGAGCGCAACCCUUGCCAUUAGUUGCUACAUUUAGUUGAGCACUCUAAUGGGACUGCCGGUGACAAACCGGAGGAAGGUGGGGAUGACGUCAAGUCCUCAUGGCCCUUAUAGGUGGGGCUACACACGUCAUACAAUGGCUGGUACAAAGGGUUGCCAACCCGCGAGGGGGAGCUAAUCCCAUAAAGCCAGUCGUAGUCCGGAUCGCAGUCUGCAACUCGACUGCGUGAAGUCGGAAUCGCUAGUAAUCGUGGAUCAGAAUGUCACGGUGAAUACGUUCCCGGGUCUUGUACACACCG